GACAGAGGGUGCAAACGUUGCUCGGAAUUACUGGGCGUAAAGCGCGUGUAGGCGGUCACCCCAGUCAGGUGUGAAAUCCCACGGCUCAACCGUGGAAGUGCAUCCGAAACUGCAUCGCUGGAGUCUCGGAGAGGAAGGUGGAAUUCUUGGUGUAGAGGUGAAAUUCGUAGAUAUCAAGCAGAACACCUGCGGCGAAGGCGGCCUUCUGGACGAUGACUGACGCUGAGACGCGAAAGCGUGGGGAGCAAACAGG
RNAcentral lists this ribosomal RNA (253 nucleotides) under uncultured bacterium. RNAcentral describes it as "partial 16S ribosomal RNA". It matches the Rfam family "Bacterial small subunit ribosomal RNA", at positions 524 to 776 of the family's 1533-position model. The record is from RNAcentral.